Molecule: ribosomal RNA, 1184 nt
Filed under: Micrococcus luteus
Lineage: Bacteria; Bacillati; Actinomycetota; Actinomycetes; Micrococcales; Micrococcaceae
Description: bacterial SSU rRNA
Rfam family: Bacterial small subunit ribosomal RNA
Source: RNAcentral
UCCACCGCAUGGUGGGUGUUGGAAAGAUUUAUCGGUUUUGGAUGGACUCGCGGCCUAUCAGCUUGUUGGUGAGGUAAUGGCUCACCAAGGCGACGACGGGUAGCCGGCCUGAGAGGGUGACCGGCCACACUGGGACUGAGACACGGCCCAGACUCCUACGGGAGGCAGCAGUGGGGAAUAUUGCACAAUGGGCGCAAGCCUGAUGCAGCGACGCCGCGUGAGGGAUGACGGCCUUCGGGUUGUAAACCUCUUUCAGUAGGGAAGAAGCGAAAGUGACGGUACCUGCAGAAGAAGCACCGGCUAACUACGUGCCAGCAGCCGCGGUAAUACGUAGGGUGCGAGCGUUAUCCGGAAUUAUUGGGCGUAAAGAGCUCGUAGGCGGUUUGUCGCGUCUGUCGUGAAAGUCCGGGGCUUAACCCCGGAUCUGCGGUGGGUACGGGCAGACUAGAGUGCGGUAGGGGAGACUGGAAUUCCUGGUGUAGCGGUGGAAUGCGCAGAUAUCAGGAGGAACACCGAUGGCGAAGGCAGGUCUCUGGGCUGUAACUGACGCUGAGGAGCGAAAGCAUGGGGAGCGAACAGGAUUAGAUACCCUGGUAGUCCAUGCCGUAAACGUUGGGCACUAGGUGUGGGGACCAUUCCACGGUUUCCGUGCCGCAGCUAACGCAUUAAGUGCCCCGCCUGGGGAGUACGGCCGCAAGGCUAAAACUCAAAGGAAUUGACGGGGGCCCGCACAAGCGGCGGAGCAUGCGGAUUAAUUCGAUGCAACGCGAAGAACCUUACUAGGCUUGACAUGUUCUCGAUCGCCGUAAAGAUACGGUUUCCCCUUUGGGGCGGGUCCCAGGUGGUGCAUGGUUGUCGUCAGCUCGUGUCGUGAGAUGUUGGGUUAAGUCCCGCAACGAGCGCAACCCUCGUUCCAUGUUGCCAGCACGUCGUGGUGGGGACUCAUGGGAGACUGCCGGGGUCAACUCGGAGGAAGGUGAGGACGACGUCAAAUCAUCAUGCCCCUUAUGUCUUGGGCUUCACGCAUGCUACAAUGGCCGGUACAAUGGGUUGCGAUACUGUGAGGUGGAGCUAAUCCCAAAAAGCCGGUCUCAGUUCGGAUUGGGGUCUGCAACUCGACCCCAUGAAGUCGGAGUCGCUAGUAAUCGCAGAUCAGCAACGCUGCGGUGAAUACGUUCCCGGGC